GAUAAACGCUGGCGGCGUGCCUAAUACAUGCAAGUCGAGCGAACGGACGAGAAGCUUGCUUCUCUGAUGUUAGCGGCGGACGGGUGAGUAACACGUGGAUAACCUACCUAUAAGACUGGGAUAACUUCGGGAAACCGGAGCUAAUACCGGAUAAUAUUUUGAACCGCAUGGUUCAAAAGUGAAAGACGGUCUUGCUGUCACUUAUAGAUGGAUCCGCGCUGCAUUAGCUAGUUGGUAAGGUAACGGCUUACCAAGGCAACGAUGCAUAGCCGGCCUGAGAGGGUGAUCGGCCACACUGGAACUGAGACACGGUCCAGACUCCUACGGGAGGCAGCAGUAGGGAAUCUUCCGCAAUGGGCGAAAGCCUGACGGAGCAACGCCGCGUGAGUGAUGAAGGUCUUCGGAUCGUAAAACUCUGUUAUUAGGGAAGAACAUAUGUGUAAGUAACUGUGCACAUCUUGACGGUACCUAAUCAGAAAGCCACGGCUAACUACGUGCCAGCAGCCGCGGUAAUACGUAGGUGGCAAGCGUUAUCCGGAAUUAUUGGGCGUAAAGCGCGCGUAGGCGGUUUUUUAAGUCUGAUGUGAAAGCCCACGGCUCAACCGUGGAGGGUCAUUGGAAACUGGAAAACUUGAGUGCAGAAGAGGAAAGUGGAAUUCCAUGUGUAGCGGUGAAAUGCGCAGAGAUAUGGAGGAACACCAGUGGCGAAGGCGACUUUCUGGUCUGUAACUGACGCUGAUGUGCGAAAGCGUGGGGAUCAAACAGGAUUAGAUACCCUGGUAGUCCACGCCGUAAACGAUGAGUGCUAAGUGUUAGGGGGUUUCCGCCCCUUAGUGCUGCAGCUAACGCAUUAAGCACUCCGCCUGGGGAGUACGACCGCAAGGUUGAAACUCAAAGGAAUUGACGGGGACCCGCACAAGCGGUGGAGCAUGUGGUUUAAUUCGAAGCAACGCGAAGAACCUUACCAAAUCUUGACAUCCUUUGACAACUCUAGAGAUAGAGCCUUCCCCUUCGGGGGACAAAGUGACAGGUGGUGCAUGGUUGUCGUCAGCUCGUGUCGUGAGAUGUUGGGUUAAGUCCCGCAACGAGCGCAACCCUUAAGCUUAGUUGCCAUCAUUAAGUUGGGCACUCUAAGUUGACUGCCGGUGACAAACCGGAGGAAGGUGGGGAUGACGUCAAAUCAUCAUGCCCCUUAUGAUUUGGGCUACACACGUGCUACAAUGGACAAUACAAAGGGCAGCGAAACCGCGAGGUCAAGCAAAUCCCAUAAAGUUGUUCUCAGUUCGGAUUGUAGUCUGCAACUCGACUACAUGAAGCUGGAAUCGCUAGUAAUCGUAGAUCAGCAUGCUACGGUGAAUACGUUCCCGGGUCU
RNAcentral lists this ribosomal RNA (1372 nucleotides) under uncultured bacterium. Its description in RNAcentral is "bacterial SSU rRNA". It matches the Rfam family "Bacterial small subunit ribosomal RNA", at positions 28 to 1381 of the family's 1533-position model. The record is from RNAcentral.